UACAGAGGUCUCAAGCGUUGUUCGGAUUCAUUGGGCGUAAAGGGUGCGUAGGUGGCGCCGUAAGUCAGGUGUGAAAUUUCGGAGCUUAACUCCGAAACUGCAUUUGAUACUGCGGUGCUUGAGGACUGGAGAGGAGACUGGAAUUCGAUGGUGUAGCAGUGAAAUGCGUAGAGAUCAUGAGGAAGACCAGUGGCGAAGGCGGGUCU
RNAcentral lists this ribosomal RNA (206 nucleotides) under uncultured bacterium. Its description in RNAcentral is "partial 16S ribosomal RNA". It matches the Rfam family "Bacterial small subunit ribosomal RNA", at positions 524 to 728 of the family's 1533-position model. The record is from RNAcentral.